Molecule: small RNA, 134 nt
Filed under: unclassified sequences
Description: LOOT RNA
Rfam family: LOOT RNA
About the family: Latescibacteria, OD1/Parcubacteria, OP11, TM7. Lineage (Microgenomates, aka OP11)
Source: Rfam by way of RNAcentral
GACCUAAACCCUAAAACCUUUAAUUUUUUAGAGCAUGGUUGCAAGUCCUGAGCAAUAAAGAUGGUCUUCUGACCAGUGCUUGUUGCUCAGGUCUAUGCCCGAAAGGGCGUAGGGUGGUUUCGAAAGAGACUGUC